RNAcentral lists this ribosomal RNA (415 nucleotides) under uncultured bacterium. RNAcentral describes it as "bacterial SSU rRNA". It matches the Rfam family "Bacterial small subunit ribosomal RNA", at positions 355 to 787 of the family's 1533-position model. The record is from RNAcentral.
UAGGGAAUAUUGCACAAUGGGGGAAACCCUGAUGCAGCGACGCCGCGUGAAGGAAGAAGUAUCUCGGUAUGUAAACUUCUAUCAGCAGGGAAGACAAUGACGGUACCUGACUAAGAAGCCCCGGCUAACUACGUGCCAGCAGCCGCGGUAAUACGUAGGGGGCAAGCGUUAUCCGGAUUUACUGGGUGUAAAGGGAGCGUAGACGGCUUAGCAAGUCUGAAGUGAAAGCCCGCGGCUCAACUGCGGGACUGCUUUGGAAACUGUGUUGCUGGAGUGCCGGAGAGGUAAGUGGAAUUCCUAGUGUAGCGGUGAAAUGCGUAGAUAUUAGGAGGAACACCAGUGGCGAAGGCGGCUUACUGGACGGUAACUGACGUUGAGGCUCGAAAGCGUGGGGAGCAAACAGGAUUAGAUACCC